GACGAACGCUGGCGGCGUGCCUAAUACAUGCAAGUGGGACGCAAGGAAACACACUGUGCUUGCACACCGUGUUUUCUUGAGUCGCGAACGGGUGAGUAACGCGUAGGUAACCUGCCUAUUAGCGGGGGAUAACUAUUGGAAACGAUAGCUGAUACCGCAUAAUAUUAAUUAUUGCAUGAUAAUUGAUUGAAAGAUGCAAGCGCAUCACUAGUAGAUGGACCUGCGUUGUAUUAGCUAGUUGGUAAGGUAAGAGCUUACCAAGGCGACGAUACAUAGCCGACCUGAGAGGGUGAUCGGCCACACUGGGACUGAGACACGGCCCAGACUCCUACGGGAGGCAGCAGUAGGGAAUCUUCGGCAAUGGACGAAAGUCUGACCGAGCAACGCCGCGUGAGUGAAGAAGGUUUUCGGAUCGUAAAGCUCUGUUGUAAGUCAAGAACGUGUGUGAGAGUGGAAAGUUCACACAGUGACGGUAGCUUACCAGAAAGGGACGGCUAACUACGUG
This 505-nucleotide ribosomal RNA is filed under the name uncultured bacterium. Its description in RNAcentral is "partial 16S ribosomal RNA". It matches the Rfam family "Bacterial small subunit ribosomal RNA", at positions 28 to 507 of the family's 1533-position model. The record is from RNAcentral.